Molecule: non-coding RNA, 83 nt
Organism: Termitomyces sp. Mi166#008
Lineage: Eukaryota; Fungi; Basidiomycota; Agaricomycetes; Agaricales; Lyophyllaceae
Source: the annotation of a GenBank genome assembly
CCGACCUUAGCUCAGUUGGUAGAGCGCGAGACUGUAAUUGGAUGCAUAUCUUGAGGCCGCCUGUUCGAUCCAGGCAGGUCGGA